This is a long non-coding RNA of Pieris napi, 390 nucleotides long. RefSeq lists it as uncharacterized. Lineage: Eukaryota; Metazoa; Arthropoda; Insecta; Lepidoptera; Pieridae. The record is from RefSeq and is a predicted model, not a curated record. The transcript has 2 exons.
CGCCUAAAGAAGUAUAACUUCAAAAAUUUCCAUUCGGUUCUUUUCAAGUGUGUAAUGCGUGUGUGCUGUGGCUGUAAUUGGCCCUGGCUCAGCAUUAUGCGGAGGAGCAGAAAGUUCCACGGCGCUGGUUAUUUGGUCGCAGAACCUUCCAGACACUCUCUGUAGGCCUGACACAUGUCCUGUAGGCCAUUUCGGGGUAACAGUUUUGAAUACCAUCGCACUUUUUUGACGAUACUAAUUAUUUAGGAGUCUCGGAGGACCUUCAUUGGAACACCUCCAAACGCGUUUCCGGAGCAAAACUCACUUGGAGGUGUUCCAAUGAAGGUCCCCCGGACACUCCUAGAUAAUUAGUAUCGUCAAAAAAGUGCGGUGGUAUUUAACACCCAACCC